Molecule: ribosomal RNA, 1372 nt
Filed under: uncultured bacterium
Lineage: Bacteria
Description: bacterial SSU rRNA
Rfam family: Bacterial small subunit ribosomal RNA
Source: RNAcentral
GAUGAACGCUGGCGGCGUGCCUAAUACAUGCAAGUCGAGCGAACGGACGAGAAGCUUGCUUCUCUGAUGUUAGCGGCGGACGGGUGAGUAACACGUGGAUAACCUACCUAUAAGACUGGGAUAACUUCGGGAAACCGGAGCUAAUACCGGAUAAUAUUUUGAACCGCAUGGUUCAAAAGUGAAAGACGGUCUUGCUGUCACUUAUAGAUGGAUCCGCGCUGCAUUAGCUAGUUGGUAAGGUAACGGCUUACCAAGGCAACGAUGCAUAGCCGACCUGAGAGGGUGAUCGGCCACACUGGAACUGAGACACGGUCCAGACUCCUACGGGAGGCAGCAGUAGGGAAUCUUCCGCAAUGGGCGAAAGCCUGACGGAGCAACGCCGCGUGAGUGAUGGAGGUCUUCGGAUCGUAAAACUCUGUUAUUAGGGAAGAACAUAUGUGUAAGUAACUGUGCACAUCUUGACGGUACCUAAUCAGAAAGCCACGGCUAACUACGUGCCAGCAGCCGCGGUAAUACGUAGGUGGCAAGCGUUAUCCGGAAUUAUUGGGCGUAAAGCGCGCGUAGGCGGUUUUUUAAGUCUGAUGUGAAAGCCCACGGCUCAACCGUGGAGGGUCAUUGGAAACUGGAAAACUUGAGUGCAGAAGAGGAAAGUGGAAUUCCAUGUGUAGCGGUGAAAUGCGCAGAGAUAUGGAGGAACACCAGUGGCGAAGGCGACUUUCUGGUCUGUAACUGACGCUGAUGUGCGAAAGCGUGGGGAUCAAACAGGAUUAGAUACCCUGGUAGUCCACGCCGUAAACGAUGAGUGCUAAGUGUUAGGGGGUUUCCGCCCCUUAGUGCUGCAGCUAACGCAUUAAGCACUCCGCCUGGGGAGUACGACCGCAAGGUUGAAACUCAAAGGAAUUGACGGGGACCCGCACAAGCGGUGGAGCAUGUGGUUUAAUUCGAAGCAACGCGAAGAACCUUACCAAAUCUUGACAUCCUUUGACAACUCUAGAGAUAGAGCUUUCCCCUUCGGGGGACAAAGUGACAGGUGGUGCAUGGUUGUCGUCAGCUCGUGUCGUGAGAUGUUGGGUUAAGUCCCGCAACGAGCGCAACCCUUAAGCUUAGUUGCCAUCAUUAAGUUGGGCACUCUAAGUUGACUGCCGGUGACAAACCGGAGGAAGGUGGGGAUGACGUCAAAUCAUCAUGCCCCUUAUGAUUUGGGCUACACACGUGCUACAAUGGACAAUACAAAGGGCAGCGAAACCGCGAGGUCAAGCAAAUCCCAUAAAGUUGUUCUCAGUUCGGAUUGUAGUCUGCAACUCGACUACAUGAAGCUGGAAUCGCUAGUAAUCGUAGAUCAGCAUGCUACGGUGAAUACGUUCCCGGGUCU